This 446-nucleotide ribosomal RNA is filed under the name uncultured bacterium. RNAcentral describes it as "partial 16S ribosomal RNA". It matches the Rfam family "Bacterial small subunit ribosomal RNA", at positions 338 to 795 of the family's 1533-position model. The record is from RNAcentral.
CCUACGGGUGGCUGCAGUCGAGAAUCAUUCACAAUGGGGGAAACCCUGAUGGUGCGACGCCGCGUGGGGGAAUGAAGGUCUUCGGAUUGUAAACCCCUGUCAUGUGGGAGCAAAUUAAAAAGAUAGUACCACAAGAGGAAGAGACGGCUAACUCUGUGCCAGCAGCCGCGGUAAUACAGAGGUCUCAAGCGUUGUUCGGAACCACUGGGCGUAAGGCGUGCGUGGGCGGUUUCGUAAGUCGUGUGUGAAAGGCGCGGGCUCAACCCGCGGACGGCACAUGAUACUGCGAGACUAGAGUAAUGGAGGGGGAACCGGAAUUCUCGGUGUAGCAGUGAAAUGCGUAGAUAUCGAGAGGAACACUCGUGGCGAAGGCGGGUUCCUGGACAUUAACUGACGCUGAGGCACGAAGGCCAGGGGAGCGAAAGGGAUUAGAUACCCGGGUAGUC